AGGACGAACGCUGGCGGCGUGCCUAAUACAUGCAAGUAGGACGCACAGUUUAUACCGUAGCUUGCUACACCAUAGACUGUGAGUUGCGAACGGGUGAGUAACGCGUAGGUAACCUGCCUAUUAGAGGGGGAUAACUAUUGGAAACGAUAGCUAAUACCGCAUAACAGUAUGUAACACAUGUUAGAUGCUUGAAAGAUGCAAUUGCAUCGCUAGUAGAUGGACCUGCGUUGUAUUAGCUAGUAGGUAGGGUAAUGGCCUACCUAGGCGACGAUACAUAGCCGACCUGAGAGGGUGAUCGGCCACACUGGGACUGAGACACGGCCCAGACUCCUACGGGAGGCAGCAGUAGGGAAUCUUCGGCAAUGGGGGGAACCCUGACCGAGCAACGCCGCGUGAGUGAAGAAGGUUUUCGGAUCGUAAAGCUCUGUUGUUAAGGAAGAACGAGUGUGAGAAUGGAAAGUUCAUACUGUGACGGUACUUAACCAGAAAGGGACGGCUAACUACGUGCCAGCAGCCGCGGUAAUACGUAGGUCCCGAGCGUUGUCCGGAUUUAUUGGGCGUAAAGCGAGCGCAGGCGGUUAGAAAAGUCUGAAGUGAAAGGCAGUGGCUCAACCAUUGUAGGCUUUGGAAACUGUUUAACUUGAGUGCAGAAGGGGAGAGUGGAAUUCCAUGUGUAGCGGUGAAAUGCGUAGAUAUAUGGAGGAACACCGGUGGCGAAAGCGGCUCUCUGGUCUGUAACUGACGCUGAGGCUCGAAAGCGUGGGGAGCGAACAGGAUUAGAUACCCUGGUAGUCCACGCCGUAAACGAUGAGUGCUAGGUGUUAGGUCCUUUCCGGGACUUAGUGCCGCAGCUAACGCAUUAAGCACUCCGCCUGGGGAGUACGACCGCAAGGUUGAAACUCAAAGGAAUUGACGGGGGCCCGCACAAGCGGUGGAGCAUGUGGUUUAAUUCGAAGCAACGCGAAGAACCUUACCAGGUCUUGACAUCCCGAU
This 993-nucleotide ribosomal RNA is filed under the name Streptococcus anginosus SK1138. RNAcentral describes it as "bacterial SSU rRNA". It matches the Rfam family "Bacterial small subunit ribosomal RNA", at positions 26 to 993 of the family's 1533-position model. The record is from RNAcentral. Lineage: Bacteria; Bacillati; Bacillota; Bacilli; Lactobacillales; Streptococcaceae.